UAAGUCAGCCACGAAUAGGCUAUCCCAACUAACGGCGGGAAAGACUCCACGGAGGGUGUAAGACCCGUGUGGGCGAGUGUUAAAGCUGUGUGGGCUCGGCCUUUUUUCCCUGAGAGUCGCGUUGCUUGAGCAUGCAGCGCUAAGCAGGUCGUAAACUCGAUCUAAGGCUAAAUAUCUCCACAGAACCGAUAGCGAACAAGUACCGUGAGGGAAAGUUGAAAAGCACUCUGGAGAGAGAGUCAAAAGACCGUGAAACCGCUCAGAGUAUAAGCCCAUGGCAGCUUGGAAGGCAUAUCGCUAGCGGGGCAUCGCACUUCCUUCACGGGGAGUCGGUGUUACCUUGCUUCUGUUGUGGCUCGUUAUGGUAGGGGGGUCAAGUCCACAUCCCGCCGUCGUGUGGGGAGUUCUUGGGCGUGUCGUUGCUUUGCGGUUGACUUCGGUUGGCCGUAGGGCUCUUCGCGCUUGGGGCUUCUUUAGACACGGACGUUCAGACUCAGAGGCAAGAUGCGAUAAACUGCCCACCACGGCACGUUGUGAGGUCACCCUCAGGCUCAGCUUUCGAUUGUGGUCCUUGACGCCGAGCAAGCAUAAUGCGUGUCGCAGAUGUUCCUAACCUGACAACACUUGUCGGACAGUGGAAUGACACGCGCUCAAAAGUCAGGACCGGGCGAUGACAGAGUUCUGGUUUGAUCCUCUUGCGACGAGCCGGCUUCUGGCCGAGUUCCGAUGCUCAGGUCUCCCGCAUGUGCCGCGGGAGAUCGCCUUGACGGUCUGGA
This 776-nucleotide ribosomal RNA is filed under the name Gammarus sp. Gsp7. RNAcentral's name for it is "eukaryotic LSU rRNA". It matches the Rfam family "Eukaryotic large subunit ribosomal RNA", at positions 157 to 605 of the family's 3401-position model. RNAcentral also lists the same sequence under 1 other name. The record is from RNAcentral. Lineage: Eukaryota; Metazoa; Arthropoda; Malacostraca; Amphipoda; Gammaridae.